AUAAAAGUAAGCUAAAUUAGAAGCUGUUGGGUUCAUACUCCGAAUAUGAAGAGAUUCCUUUUAUU
Molecule: transfer RNA, 65 nt
Filed under: Buthus occitanus (common European scorpion)
Lineage: Eukaryota; Metazoa; Arthropoda; Arachnida; Scorpiones; Buthidae
Description: tRNA-Met
Source: RNAcentral